This is a non-coding RNA of Leptonychotes weddellii (Weddell seal), 1957 nucleotides long. The record is from RefSeq and is a predicted model, not a curated record. Lineage: Eukaryota; Metazoa; Chordata; Mammalia; Carnivora; Phocidae.
CCCCUCCCCCAAUUCUCCAUCCCCUUCCCUCCUGGUCUCGGAGGACCCCGUCCUAGCCCGACCCGUCUCGGCCCGCAACCUCCGCGAAGCCGUCGGUGCCACUCCCCGCCCAUGUGGGCCCCCGCGAGCUGCCCACGCCUGUCCCCCAGCUCCCGGUUCCGCUGGGCUUUCCCCUCGCCGGGGGUGGCUUUCUGAGCCGCCCGCUCCGCGUCCCUCUCUGCAGCCUUUCCUGCCACUCGGGGCCCCCGUUCCCCCUCCCGGCGGCGGGGGGCUGCCCCCGGGGGGCUGGCGGAGCUGGGCCGCGGGGGCCCCGGGGCCGGCGGUGCCGGGGUCAUCGGGAUGAUGCGGACGCAGUGUCUGCUGGGGCUGCGCACGUUCGUGGCCUUCGCCGCCAAGCUCUGGAGCUUCUUCAUUUACCUUUUGCGGAGGCAGAUCCGCACGAUAAUUCAGUACCAGACUGUUCGAUAUGAUAUUCUUCCCUUAUCUCCUGUGUCCCGGAAUCGGCUAGGUCAGGUGAAGAGGAAGAUCCUGGUGCUGGAUCUGGAUGAGACACUUAUCCACUCUCAUCACGAUGGGGUCCUGAGGCCCACUGUCCGGCCUGGAACGCCUCCUGACUUCAUCCUCAAGGUGGUAAUAGACAAACAUCCCGUCCGGUUUUUUGUACAUAAGAGGCCCCAUGUGGAUUUCUUCUUAGAAGUGGUGAGUCAGUGGUACGACCUGGUGGUGUUCACAGCAAGCAUGGAGAUUUACGGCUCCGCUGUGGCAGAUAAACUGGAUAAUAGCAGGAGUAUUCUCAAGAGGAGAUACUACAGACAGCACUGCACUUUGGAACUGGGCAGCUACAUCAAGGACCUCUCUGUGGUCCACAGCGACCUCUCCAGCAUCGUGAUCCUGGAUAACUCCCCAGGGGCUUACAGGAGCCACCCAGAUCACAUUUCUCCGACUAAAUUUGCUUCACGUGAAGCACAGUGGUAAUGACUUUGCCUAGGAGCUUCACGCUAACAUGAAGUACGGUGACUAAAAGUUGAUUUUAUUUUGGAGGAUGAAUCCAGAAGGUUUUACUUAGGUUGCUGGGUUUGGGUGGGUUGGGGAGAGGAACAUAUUUUAAAGUAACGAUCCCCAUCCCCAAAUAAAAGAAAAAUCAGCCUGUCUGUUGAACUCUUUUUUCUCACGUGCAUUUAUUUUUACCCGCCCUAGACAACGCCAUCCCCAUCAAAUCGUGGUUCAGUGACCCCAGCGACACCGCCCUUCUCAACCUGCUUCCGAUGCUGGAUGCGCUCAGGUUCACCGCUGACGUUCGUUCUGUGCUGAGCCGAAACCUUCACCAACACAGGCUCUGGUGACAGCUGCUCUCCCCCCACCUGAGCCGGGGUUGGGGGGACGGGGGUGAGCCCUCGCGGUGCCGUCUGCUGCCCUGUCCAGCGGUGAGGACUGUGUGGGCAGGGUCUGCCCCUCCCGUCCCUCUCUGCCCUGGGAGCCCUGCACUCCCUGUGGAGUCUGGAUGGACACGUGGGCCGGACUCUGAAGCAGCCUCACUCGAACGUCGAGUUCGUGCUCCCUGGAAACCCCAGACUGGGACAUAAGCGGAGGCCUAGGAGAGCCGAAACUGUCUGGUGGAGAGACAGGACCGGCCAGAAUGACACACAGACGUUCGGUAAUCCGGGAGGCUCAAAGAAAAGCCAAGCGAGCUUUGUUGUGAUUUGAUUUUUUAAAAACUCUUGUACAAAACUGAUCUAAUUCUUCACUCCAAGGGCUGGGCUGUGGGUGGGAAACUGGGAUUUUUGGGCCACUGGAUUUUCCCCAAACUUGUCCCUUCCCUCCCCGCCCCCCACUUAUCCCUCUAUUUUCCCUUCUUCCUAGAUUCCCUUAGACCUGUAACCAGCUUUCUCUCUCUCUCUCUCUUUUUUUUUUUUCCUUCCUCUCUUUUAAACCAUGCAUUAUAACUUUGGAAACCAAA